Molecule: ribosomal RNA, 666 nt
Filed under: uncultured fungus
Lineage: Eukaryota; Fungi
Description: eukaryotic LSU rRNA
Rfam family: 5.8S ribosomal RNA (bases 234-387)
Source: RNAcentral
AGUAAAAGUCGUAACAAGGUUUCCGUAGGUGAACCUGCGGAAGGAUCAUUAAUGAACCUUUGAGGGUUGAGCUGGCGAUUAACUUCGCAUGUGCUUGCCCUCUCAAUCUUUUAUACACCUGUGCAUCUCUGAGGGGACAGUAGGCCAUUACCUUUUGGGUUAAGGUCGAGAUCCCCUUUAACAUACACUUUAUUUAUUUAUGAAUGUUCAAACGCUUAACAGCAUUUAAAUACAACUUUUAACAACGGAUCUCUUGGCUCUCGCAUCGAUGAAGAACGCAGCGAAAUGCGAUAAGUAAUGUGAAUUGCAGAAUUCAGUGAAUCAUCGAAUCUUUGAACGCACCUUGCGCUCCCUGGUAUUCCGGGGAGCACGCCUGUUCGAGCGUCAUGAAGCUCUCAAACACUAUCUUUUCUUAACUGAGAAGGGUGGCCGUUUGGAUUUGGACUCUGCCGUGUAACAAACGGCUGGUCCGAAAGAUAUUAGCUGAUCCUAGCGAAGCUUGGUUCUACUCGGCGUGAUAAUUAUCUGACGUCGAGGACAUCGCAAGAUGGCCAAAAUUUGUUUUAUGGAUUGCUUCUAAUCGUCUUCAUCGACAACACAUCAUCAAUCUGACCUCGAAUCAGGCGGGACUACCCGCUGAACUUAAGCAUAUCAAUAAGCGGAGGA